CAAUCCUAAAACUACUAACUGCAAUAACAAGUAGAUCCCCUCCCCCUAGAAAAUCUUGGAUCCGCCACUGGAAAGCAGAGUGAUGGAGGAGUGUUUAAAAAUAGCUCCCUGUAUAGAGAAAUUGUUAACCAGACUCUUGAUCUACCACCUGCCAAACCUUUUCCUGGCCUUAGUGAAAAUAUUCCUUAUGUAAUGGUAGCUGGCGAUGCAUUUCCACUGUCACAUUAUUUGAUGAAACCCUAUCCUAAAAAAGGUCUAUCUAUAGAGGAAAGAGAAUAUAAUAUGAGAUUAUCACAUGCUUGGGUUAGUGUUGAACAAAGCUUUGGAGGCAUUAUAAAAAAAUUUGAAAUUCUCAGCAAACCUAUAGAAGUUAGUUUGGAGCUUGUCAAGACUAUAUGCCUUGUGUAUAAUAUAAUAAUAAGCAAUGAAGGAAUAGGUGCUGAAGUUGAUGACAUAGAUACAAUGCCUAAUCUGACCACUAGACCACUCCCCAUCAGCAAAGAUAGACAAAACAAUUCUUCAACAAUUGAAUCUAGAAUUUUAAGAGA
Long non-coding RNA from Gordionus sp. m RMFG-2023, 548 nucleotides. RefSeq lists it as uncharacterized. Lineage: Eukaryota; Metazoa; Nematomorpha; Gordioida; Chordodea; Parachordodidae. The record is from RefSeq and is a predicted model, not a curated record. The transcript has 3 exons.